GACGAACGCUGGCGGCGUGGAUUAGGCAUGCAAGUCGAACGGUAUCAUCCUUUCGGGGGUGAGAGAGUGGCGAACUGGUGAGUAACACGUAGGUUAUCUACCCUCAAGACGGGGACAACCCAGGGAAACUUGGGCUAAUACCGGAUGUGAGCAACUUUUAGUUGUUUGAAAGGUGGCGUAAGCUGUCGCUUGGGGAUGAGCCUGCGUCCUAUUAGUUAGUUGGUGAGGUAACGGCUCACCUAGGCAAUGAUAGGUAGGCGGCCUUAACGGGUGGUCGCCCACACUGGGAUUGAGAUACGGCCCAGACUCCUACGGGAGGCAGCAGUCGAGAAUAGUCUACAAUGGUCGGAAGACUGAUAGUGCGACGCCGCGUGAACGAUGAAUCCCUUCGGGGUGUAAAAGUUCUUUUAUAUGUGAGCAGUGCUUCUUAUAUUAACAGUAUGGGGAGAGAGAUAUUAGCAUAUGAAUAAGCAAACGGCUAAACUCCGUGCCAGCAAGCCCG
RNAcentral lists this ribosomal RNA (502 nucleotides) under uncultured bacterium. RNAcentral describes it as "bacterial SSU rRNA". It matches the Rfam family "Bacterial small subunit ribosomal RNA", at positions 28 to 519 of the family's 1533-position model. The record is from RNAcentral.